Molecule: microRNA precursor, 75 nt
Organism: Gorilla gorilla gorilla (western lowland gorilla)
Lineage: Eukaryota; Metazoa; Chordata; Mammalia; Primates; Hominidae
Source: Ensembl
GUUUAAAGAAUACUGUGAAUUUCACUGUCACAAAUUCAAAUAAAGUGAGAGUGGAAUUCACAGUAUUUAAGGAAU